This 622-nucleotide long non-coding RNA is filed under the name Homo sapiens (human). RNAcentral's name for it is "HSALNT0378284". Lineage: Eukaryota; Metazoa; Chordata; Mammalia; Primates; Hominidae. The record is from RNAcentral.
AUGGGAGUUUCCCUGCACGAGCUCUCUUCUCUUUGCCUACUGCCAUCCAUUUAAGACAUGACUUGCUCCUCCUUCCCUUCCACCACGAUUGUGAGGCUUCCCCAGCCAUGUGGAACUAUUGUCACACUAGGUAUAUUAAGUGUGUGUGAGAGAAGAAGGACAACAUACUCCCUGAGACUAGGAAAUCCUGAAGUGCUCUUCAGACGAAGAUACCUGGACAACACCAAAUCAAUAAACAGGCAAAUGUUAAGUACACUUACAGAGGUUACAUACGGUAGAGGAAAGAAUACUGUAUCAUCAAGGAUUCUCCCAUUUCAAUUCCUUAAAGUGGAAUAAGAACUUAAACCCUCAGGAAAGAGACUGUGAAAUUCUAAUGUUUACUCUAUCAUUAGUGAUGUCACCUUUGCCAAAGCAUCUAACAUUUGUAAGUGUUGUCUUCCCUACAAACUGUCCCUACUUGCUCUUCCCCUCCCAAGGCUGGGAUAGAUGGAACCCUUUGAUUCCUUUACAUCUUAAUCCUAUCUCUAUUACCUGAACUAUUAAAUUGCUUUAUAAUUACUGUGCAUAUAUUUGCCUCUUGCACCACCAAGUUUCUCGAGAUCAGAGCCAAUGUCUUAUGCCU